UUUGAUCAUGGCUCAGAUGAACGCUGGCGGCGUGCUUAACACAUGCAAGUCGAACGGUGAAGCCCCGCUUGCGGGGUGGAUCAGUGGCGAACGGGUGAGUAACACGUGAGCAAUCUGCCCCUGACUCUGGGAUAAGCGCUGGAAACGGCGUCUAAUACCGGAUAUGAACUGCCAUCGCAUGGUGAGCGGUUGGAAAGAUUUUUCGGUCUGGGAUGAGCUCGCGGCCUAUCAGCUUGUUGGUGAGGUAAUGGCUCACCAAGGCGUCGACGGGUAGCCGGCCUGAGAGGGUGACCGGCCACACUGGGACUGAGACACGGCCCAGACUCUACGGGAGGCAGCAGUGGGGAAUAUUGCACAAUGGGCGGAAGCCUGAUGCAGCAACGCCGCGUGAGGGAUGACGGCUUCGGGUUGUAAACCUCUUUUAGCAGGGAAGAAGCGAAAGUGACGGUACCUGCAGAAAAAGCGCCGGCUAACUACGUGCCAGCAGCCGCGGUAAUACGUAGGGCGCAAGCGUUAUCCGGAAUUAUUGGGCGUAAAGAGCUCGUAGGCGGUUUGUCGCGUCUGCUGUGAAAUCUGGAGGCUCAACCUCCAGCCUGCAGUGGGUACGGGCAGACUAGAGUGCGGUAGGGGAGAUUGGAAUUCCUGGUGUAGCGGUGGAAUGCGCAGAUAUCAGGAGGAACACCGAUGGCGAAGGCAGAUCUCUGGGCCGUAACUGACGCUGAGGAGCGAAAGGGUGGGGAGCAAACAGGCUUAGAUACCCUGGUAGUCCACCCCGUAAACGUUGGGAACUAGUUGUGGGGUCCAUUCCAC
This 810-nucleotide ribosomal RNA is filed under the name Microbacterium sp. GWS-AG-H197. Its description in RNAcentral is "bacterial SSU rRNA". It matches the Rfam family "Bacterial small subunit ribosomal RNA", at positions 12 to 844 of the family's 1533-position model. Lineage: Bacteria; Bacillati; Actinomycetota; Actinomycetes; Micrococcales; Microbacteriaceae. The record is from RNAcentral.